AUCGCUUCUCGGCCUUUUGGCUAAGAUCAAGUGUAGUAUUUACACUAUACCUAUGCCAACAUUCUAUAUAUCAAACCUCAUAAUAUAUUACAAGCGUGUUUCUUAUUUUGUGCUUUUUCUGAGGUCAAAAAUUGCUU
RNAcentral lists this small nuclear RNA (137 nucleotides) under Canis lupus familiaris (dog). RNAcentral's name for it is "U2 spliceosomal RNA (ENSCAFG00805005883.1, ENSCAFG00845016916.1)". It matches the Rfam family "U2 spliceosomal RNA". Rfam says of the family: U2 is a small nuclear RNA (snRNA) component of the spliceosome (involved in pre-mRNA splicing). Complementary binding between U2 snRNA (in an area lying towards the 5' end but 3' to hairpin I) and the branchpoint sequence (BPS) of the intron results the bulging out of an unpaired adenosine, on the BPS, which initiates a nucleophilic attack at the intronic 5' splice site, thus starting the first of two transesterification reactions that mediate splicing. RNAcentral also lists the same sequence under 1 other name. The record is from Rfam by way of RNAcentral. Lineage: Eukaryota; Metazoa; Chordata; Mammalia; Carnivora; Canidae.